GUGCCAGCAGCCGCGGUAAUACGUAGGGGGCAAGCGUUGUCCGGAAUUAUUGGGCGUAAAGCGCGCGCAGGCGGUCAAUUAAGUCUGGUGUUUAAUCCUGGGGCUCAACCCCAGUUCGCAUCGGAAACUGGCUGACUUGAGUGUAGGAGAGGAAAGUGGAAUUCCACGUGUAGCGGUGAAAUGCGUAGAGAUGUGGAGGAACACCAGUGGCGAAGGCGACUUUCUGGCCUAUAACUGACGCUGAGGCGCGAAAGCGUGGGGAGCAAACAGGAUUAGAUACCCUGGUAGUCCACGCCGUAAACGAUGCAUACUAGGUGUCGGGGAUUCGAUUUCUCGGUGCCGAAGUUAACACAGUAAGUAUGCCGCCUGGGGAGUACGCUCGCAAGAGUGAA
This 392-nucleotide ribosomal RNA is filed under the name uncultured bacterium. Its description in RNAcentral is "bacterial SSU rRNA". It matches the Rfam family "Bacterial small subunit ribosomal RNA", at positions 505 to 898 of the family's 1533-position model. The record is from RNAcentral.